RNAcentral lists this long non-coding RNA (651 nucleotides) under Populus trichocarpa (black cottonwood). RNAcentral's name for it is "long non-coding RNA (PTRI_LNC001015)". Lineage: Eukaryota; Viridiplantae; Streptophyta; Magnoliopsida; Malpighiales; Salicaceae. The record is from RNAcentral.
UUUAUUUUCUUACUCUUUAUUUGUUUCCUGGAGAUGGUCAAAUUAAUACUAGCCAUAUUCUGCUCUCUCUCUUCUCUUCUUUCUAUUUUUGCCGACAACCCCAAAACAAUUUUCCUUAUUUCCCUCACCUCUCUAUCAUGCAAAGAAAAUCCAGCCAGCAACCCUAAAAAAACUCCAGCGACGUGACUUCUCUCUCUUACCAAUGAUGUUAAUCACCGACCACGAACCCAGUUGUCCCCUUCGUCUCAUUGUCAGUGUGGUUGCGGGUGCUUUUCAAAUAACUUUUCGUGCCAAAAUACAUGUCAAUGAUGUUUUUUCAUUUUUUAAGGUAACAAACCUGGUUUUUUUAAUGAUUUCAGAACGCAUUUAAGUCUUAUUAUUAGCUAUGAAUUUAGAUGUAAAUACGACGUGACUUCUCUCUCUUACCAAUGAUGUUAAUCACCGACCACGAACCCAGUUGUCCCCUUCGUCUCAGGCAUUCGCCAUCUCUCUUUCCCACACGAGCGCCGGUGCGGGAGGUUUUUUUUGGCUUAGGUUUUGGAUUGUAGUUUUUUAGGUAACAAACCUGGUUUUUUUAAUGAUUUCAGAACGCAUUUAAGUCUUAUUAUUAGCUAUGAAUUUAGAUGUAAAUAUUAAUGGUUUAUGUACCCU